This is a long non-coding RNA of Oxyura jamaicensis (ruddy duck), 374 nucleotides long. RefSeq lists it as uncharacterized. The transcript has 2 exons. NCBI's taxonomy places the organism in Eukaryota, Metazoa, Chordata, Aves, Anseriformes, Anatidae. The record is from RefSeq and is a predicted model, not a curated record.
CGGGCAGGGGGCUCUGCCCCGACAGCGGCCGAGAUUUCGGACGUGUAACCACGGUUUUGGAAAGGAGGCAGCCCCGGGGGGGGGCUCGGAGAAGGGCCCGCUGCCCAGCACCGAUAGCUGCAGGCAGGGAGCUACGCGCAGGUGUUGCGAACUCUCAGUGUGGGAUCGCAGACGGGGUUAGAGAGAGGCGCAUAAAAAAGGGCAAAAAAGAGAAAGGGAGAAACGGCUCUGUUCGGAACGAGGCAGCUAAGAGAGAAACGGAUCGAUCAAUCGCUGAUCCACCGAUCAAUAAUCGAUCGAUCGAUCCGUUGGGUUGCUUCACGGGGAAAAUUUUCCAUCCGAGCCGUCAGUCUGGCACACGCCCACACUUUGCC